This is a non-coding RNA of Acanthosepion pharaonis, 1158 nucleotides long. Lineage: Eukaryota; Metazoa; Mollusca; Cephalopoda; Sepiida; Sepiidae. The record is from the annotation of a GenBank genome assembly.
ACUUGUUGGUCGAUUAAGUGCCUACCGUGCUUACUAAGGAUAACGGGGAAUCGAGGUUCGAUUCCGGAGAGAGGGCAUGCGAAACGGCUACCACAUACAAGGAAGGCAGCAGGCGCGCAAAUUACCCACUCUCGGCACGGGGAGGUAUUGACGAAAAAUAACGACGCGGGACUCUGUCGAGGCCCCGUGAUCGGAAUGAGUACACUUCAAAUCCGUUAACGAGGAUCAACCGGAGGGCAAGUCUGGUGCCAGCAGCCGCUGUAAUUCCAGCUCCGGUAGCGUAUAUUAAAGUUGUUGCGGUUAAAAAGCUCGUAGUCCGAACUCGGGUUCGUGGUCGCGUUCGCGGCCCCGGGGUGGCGGCGCCAUCGUCCGUCAUUAACUUUGGUCGUCCGUGAACAUUCCUGGCCCUUUCCGACAGUGUCAACCACUUGCACAUCCACCACGCGGUCCUGUCGGCGAAAUUACGCGGGGGAGUAGUAGGUGUUGCUGUCGUCAUCUAAAAGGAGGUCGCGUUGUCUUAGCUCUGUCUCGCCGUUGCGUUCUCCCCUGCCGCCGUUCGGUAGCCUCCUCCUCUCACCUCUCCAGUUUUGUCGCAGCUCUACUAUACCUACCUACCUACGCGUCAAUCUUCGUGUCCGUUUUAUGCGCGUGCGUGGUCGGUGGUUUCUCCUCCAAGGGUGCUCUUGACCGAGUGUCCGCGGCGGCCGGUACGUUCACUUUGAAAAAAUUAGAGUGCUCAAAGCGGGCUGUUCAAGCUUGCAUACGAUAAGCAUGGAAUGAUGGAAGAGGGCCUCGUCUACGUCUGUCGGUCUCCGUCUACGGCGAGGCAAUGAUCGAAGGGAGCGGUCGGGGCCACUCGUAUUGCGACGUUAGAGGUGAAAUUCUUGGAUCGUCGCAAGACGAACUGCAGCGAUGGCGUGUGGCAAGCACGUUUUGCUCGAUCAAGAGCGAAAGUCGGAGGUUGGAAGACGAUCAGAUACCGUCGUAGCUCCGGUCGUAAACGAUGCCGACCGGCGAUCUGCCGAUGUUCGCUUCCAUGACUCCGCAGGUAGCCUGCGGGAAUCCAGAGUUCGGUUCCGAGGGGAGUAUGUUGAAAAGCUGAAACUUAAAGGAUCUGAUGGAAAGGCACCAUCAGGAGGGGAGCCUGCAGCUUAAUUU